GGAGGGAGGGAUGGACGGUGGUAGUGUGUCUAUCUACCCUUCACCCAGGCAGACAAGGUGUUGGCACCACAUUCCAUGCCUCUUUCUCUCUGGAGCCCCAUGAUGUCCUGCUAUUCUCACUGUUGAUGCUCCAUAUCACCUAGUGACAUUCAGAGUGUGUGUACAUUUACUUGGCGAAUAAAGGUGAUUCUAACAUACCCUUAAAAUAAUAACAUACACUUAACAUAAUAACAUACCCUUAAAUUAAUAACAUACCCUUAAAAUAAUAAUAUACCCUUAAAAUAAUAACAUACCCUUAAAAUUAUGAACUUAACUAUUCUCUGUAUGUGUGUCCAGGUUUUGGCAUAUUUUAGGAUGAGGUGUGCAAGGUUUAGGGUACUCCAGGCCUGUGUAUGUAGUGUGUAGGGUUUAGGGUACUCCAGGACUGUGUGUGUAGGGUUCAGGGUACUCCAGGAUUGUGUGUGUAGGGUUUAGUGGGUAGGGUUUAGGGUACACCAGGCCCAUGUGUGUAGGGUUUAGGGUACUCCAGGCCUGUGUGUGUAGGGUUUAGGGUACUCCAGGACUGUGUGUGUAGAGUUUAGUGGUUGGUGGUUGGUGGUUGGAGAUAUCCCUCCAGUGGUGUGGAGGCUGUGCUUUGGCAAAGUGGGUGGGGUUAUAUCCUACCUGUUUGGCCCUGUCCGGGGGUUUCAUCGGAUGGGGCCACAGUGUCUCCUGACCCCUCCUGUCUCAGCCUCCAGUAUUUAUGCUGCAGUAGUUUAUGUGUCGGGGGGCUGGGGUCAGUCUGUCACAUCUGGAGUAUUUCUCUUGUCUUUUCCGGUGUCCUGUGUGAAUUUAAAUAUGCUCUCUCUAAUUCUUUCUUUCUUUCUUUCUUUCUUUCUUUCUUUCUUUCUUUCUUUCUUUCUUUCUUUCUUUCUUUCUUUCUUUCUUUCUUUCUUUCUUUCUCUCUCUCUCUCUCUCUCGGAGGACCUGAGCCCUAGGACCAUGCCUCAGGACUACCUGGCUUGAUGACUCCUUGCUGUCCCCAGUUCACCUGGCCGUGCUGCUGCUCCAGUUCCAACUGUUCUGCCUGCAGCUAUGGAACCCUGACUUGUUCACCGGACGUGCUACCUGUCCCAGACCUGCUGUCCCAGACCUGCUGGAACCCUGACCUAUUCACCGGACGUGCUACCUGUCCCAGACCUGCUGUUUUCAACUCUCUAGAGACAGCAGGAGCGGUAGAGAUACUCUCAACGAUCGGCUAUGAAAAAGCCAACUGACACUUACUCUUGUGUUACUGACUUGUUGCACCCUCGACAACUACUAUGAUUAUUAUUAUUUGACCAUGCUGGUCAUUUAUGAACAUUUGAACAUCUAGGCCAUGUGCUGUUAUAAUCUCCACCCGGCACAGCCAGAAGAGGACUGGCCACCCCUCAUAGCCUGGUUCCUCUCUAGGUUUCUUCCUAGGUUUUGGCCUUUCUAGGGAAUUUUUUCCUAGCCACCGUGCUUCUACACCUGCAUUGCUUGCUGUUUGGGGUUUUAGGUUGGGUUUCUGUACAGCACUUUGAGAUAUCAGCUGAUGUAAGAAGGGCUAUAUAAAUACAUUUGAUUUGAUUUGAUUUUAGUGUAUAGGGUUUAGGGUACUCCAGGACUGUGUGUGUAGGGUUUAGGGUACUCCAGGCCUGUGUGUGUAGGGUUUAGGGUACUCCAGGACUGUGUGUGUAGAGUUUAGUGUAUAGGGUUUAGGGUACUCCAGGCCUGUGUGUGUAGGGUUUAGGGUACUCCAGGCCUGUGUGUGUAGGGUUUAGUGUGUAGUGUUUAGGGUACUCCAGGCCUGUGUGGCUUCUUCUGAAGGGCACCUUGCCAGAGUUCAGUGAACGAUGGUGUCCUUGAGUGUGUGUGUGUGUGUGUGUGUGUGUGUGUGUGUGAGUGUGUGUGUGUGUGUGUGUGUGUGUGUGU
RNAcentral lists this long non-coding RNA (1935 nucleotides) under Salmo salar (Atlantic salmon). Its description in RNAcentral is "lncRNA (ENSSSAG00000117062.1)". The record is from RNAcentral. Lineage: Eukaryota; Metazoa; Chordata; Actinopteri; Salmoniformes; Salmonidae.